CAACGGAUCUCUUGGCUCUCGCAUCGAUGAAGAACGCAGCGAAAUGCGAUACGUAAUGUGAAUUGCAGAAUUCAGUGAAUCAUCGAAUCUUUGAACGCACCUUGCGCCCCUUGGCAUUCCGAGGGGCACACCCGUUUGAGUGUCG
RNAcentral lists this ribosomal RNA (145 nucleotides) under uncultured fungus. Its description in RNAcentral is "5.8S ribosomal RNA". It matches the Rfam family "5.8S ribosomal RNA". Rfam says of the family: 5.8S ribosomal RNA (5.8S rRNA) is a component of the large subunit of the eukaryotic ribosome. It is transcribed by RNA polymerase I as part of the 45S precursor that also contains 18S and 28S rRNA. Functionally, it is thought that 5.8S rRNA may be involved in ribosome translocation. The record is from RNAcentral. RNAcentral also lists the same sequence under 1 other name. Lineage: Eukaryota; Fungi.